Molecule: long non-coding RNA, 1458 nt
Filed under: Oryza brachyantha (malo sina)
Lineage: Eukaryota; Viridiplantae; Streptophyta; Magnoliopsida; Poales; Poaceae
Description: long non-coding RNA (OBRA_LNC000683)
Source: RNAcentral
GCCGCCCAUAAUAGCGGCAUCUCCUCCUCUCCCUCCCUCCCUCUUCUCUUCUCUUAUCAGAAGGAGAAGGCGAAGGCGAAGUAUCGGUUAGAUCUGUAUUCUUAGUGGCACCGCGCGUCUUAAUUUUUUUCGCUGGAACUUAUAGCAAUCAUUUAAAUCUGAUAUGAAUAUUUCGUGCUCCAUUAGCUCGCUGAAUGUUAAUACGUAGUAGUGAUUUUUUUGUGCUUAUGCAAAACUGCUAAUAUUUGCAAAGUAAUCGCGGCGGCAAGUGUUACAUGUGUUUUUUUACCCUUGAAUCAUGCAUAGGAGGUUUAUUUAUACAGUAAGUACGGCGCGAAAUGUUGCAGGUGGUUUUUACCCUUGAAUCUGUGGAUUCUGUACAGGAGGGUUAUUAUGUCUCGUGUAGAUAUGUGUAGUCAACCUUAUGUUAAUCAAAAUGCGAAUGCUCCUGGAAUGCCGCAAAAUGACAGCACUCGAUUCUGCAUUUUGCUUUGAAACCAUGGAAUACUGGUAGCAGUGUAAUCUGUGUGGUGUCUGAUUUUGAGUGCCAAAAUACAUCCUAAUGUAUAUGGUUCAAUGUGACGCUAAUUUCUUGUUCCAACUUCAAAUUAUCUUGUUUCCAGACCUAUUCCGUCCUAUUUACUUUUUUUGCCCUAGGCCGAGCGCUUACCUCUUAAGCCAUGGGGUGGCGUGGUAUUCCACGGGAGAGGUUUUUGUGGCACACGUUACACGUGUGAUGGGCAUACAUUCAGUUUGUCAUUCUGGCUGCCCAUCUGCGCCAGCAGCAGUAUGGAAAGCCUGUUUGGAUGAUACAAAUUUACAUGCUAACCACAGUAUGUAGCUUUUUCUUUCAACCCAAUGUGGUUCCUGAUCCGUUUAUGCUUGGUUUUAUGAAUGUUUCUGCAAUUUUACUGCAUUUCUAUGUAACAAAUCACUCCUGCCAUGUCGCUCUGAAUUCUCCAUCCUUUAGUUAGCAUAUUUAUUCUUCAGCUUCAAGAUCACAGAUGCAUAUAGGCUGGCUUGAUUCAUUUGUUAGCAUAUGCGCUUCUGCUUCACAAAUCACAUGUGCACCAUAUAGAUUGAGUACAAUGUCAAACAUUGACUAUUGAGUAUUGAGUAUGGAAAUCAAAUAUGGAGCUACUUGUUGUGGUAGCAUUCCAUUGAAACUAGUGCUUUCUGUCAUCAGGUUGGUAACCGGAUCAUCAGGAAGAGGAUCCAUGUCCGUGUGGAGCAUGUCCAGCCAUCCAGGUGCACCGAGGAGCUCCGCCUGAGGAAAAUCAAGAACGAUCAGCUCAAGGCUGAAGCCAAGGCCCGUGGGGAGGUUAUCAGCACCAAGAGGCAGCCCGAGGGACCCAAACCUGGCUUCAUGGUUGAGGGUGCUACACUGGAGACAGUCACCCCCAUUCCGUAUGAUGUGGUCAAUGAUCUCAAGGGUGGUUACUAGAAUGCCUGUUUCUU